Molecule: ribosomal RNA, 465 nt
Filed under: uncultured bacterium
Lineage: Bacteria
Description: partial 16S ribosomal RNA
Rfam family: Bacterial small subunit ribosomal RNA
Source: RNAcentral
GAUGAACGCUGGCGGCGUGCUUAACACAUGCAAGUCGAACGGAAAGGCUCCUGCUUGCAGGGGUACUCGAGUGGCGAACGGGUGAGUAACACGUGGGUGAUCUGCCCUGCACUUCGGGAUAAGCCUGGGAAACUGGGUCUAAUACCGGAUAGGACCACAUUUUGGAUGGUGUGGUGGAAAGUUUUUCGGUGUGGGAUGAGCUCGCGGCCUAUCAGCUUGUUGGUGGGGUAAUGGCCUAGCAAGGCGUCGACGGGUAGCCGGCCUGAGAGGGUGUACGGCCACAUUGGGACUGAGAUACGGCCCAGACUCCUACGGGAGGCAGCAGUGGGGAAUAUUGCACAAUGGGCGCAAGCCUGAUGCAGCGACGCCGCGUGGGGGAUGACGGCCUUCGGGUUGUAAACUCCUUUCGCUAGGGACGAAGCGCAAGUGACGGUACCUGGAGAAGAAGCACCGGCUAACUACGUG